UACGAAGGGGGCUAGCGUUGCUCGGAAUCACUGGGCGUAAAGCGCACGUAGGCGGAUUGCUAAGUCAGGGGUGAAAUCCUGGAGCUCAACUCCAGAACUGCCUUUGAUACUGGCGAUCUCGAGUCCGGGAGAGGUGAGUGGAACUGCGAGUGUAGAGGUGAAAUUCGUAGAUAUUCGCAAGAACACCAGUGACGAAGGCGGCUCACUGGCCCGGUACUGACGCUGAGGUGCGAAAGCGUGGGGAGCAAACAGG
This 253-nucleotide ribosomal RNA is filed under the name uncultured bacterium. RNAcentral describes it as "partial 16S ribosomal RNA". It matches the Rfam family "Bacterial small subunit ribosomal RNA", at positions 524 to 776 of the family's 1533-position model. The record is from RNAcentral.